CUCCCUCCUCCACCCGAUUGGGUAGCCCGAGCCGGGGCGAAGACACCGGCAUCAUCAAGAGGGGCAAGGAGUUCGUCGUAUAGCCAGUCUCAAGCCACGCAUAGUCGUCGACCACAACACAGCGAGGGAGGUGGAGAUGGCCUUUGUCUGGAUUUUUAGAUCCGGCCCCAACAAUAAGUGGGACAUCAGGCAGCUCGACAUGCCCAUGACCCCGACAAGGGGCUUGUUGAGUUCCACUGGCGGACAGAUGCCGUGUUCUCCUUUGAUGGGUUUAUCUGUUGGGUUGAUUACCACCGUGGUAUCCUGUUAUGCGAUGUUUGCAAUUCCGAUCCUGAGCUUCGUUUCCUCCGUUUUCCUGGCAUUGAGACUUGGAGGUGUGGUGACCGAGCACUUCCUACAAGAUACAGGACUGUGUCCAUCUGCAGAGGCCGUAUGAAGUUCGUGGAUGUGGACAAUGGCCGAUUUCGGUCCACCAAGCGUGAUGAAAAUGGGUCUACUGAGAGCAAUGACAUUAGGUCUACCGAGCGCGAUGACAAUGAGUACACUGAGAGCAAUGGCGAUGAGUGCAGCAUCAAUACCUGGACUCUGAAGAUGCCGCAAUAUGAGUGGGAGGUGGACUCUGUCCUCCAGCUCGGAGAGCUCUGGUCUCACCGGAAAUACCGAGAUUCACCUUUGCCGCGGACCGUGCCAACAUUUCCCAUUGUCAACAUGAUGGAGCCCAACAUUCUACACUUCAUAGUCAAGGGGCCUGGUUUUUAUGAUAAGGCUUGGAUGGUUACAAUUGAUACGAAGAAGAAAUCUCUUGGGCCAUAACAACUCUACGAGAAUCCAGUAAAGGAGGGGGACUGUACUUUCGACAUUAGCCAUGCAUAUCCUAACAGGCCCAUGAUCUCCAGUAAGAUUACCAAGUGCCUGAACAUUCCGGCAGGUUGUCAGUUUCAAUCAGAAACCAGUGUCGCACUUACCUACAGAGUAUUCUCUCUGUUCCAAAUUGUAGGUCAUUUUAUCUUUUUAGUGCAUAGUUUUUGCUAUGCACUUAGAUACAGUGUAUGUCUAGAUGCAUAAAUAUCUAUGAAUCUAGAAAAAUCAAAACGACAUACAAUUUGGAAUGGAGGGAGUAUUCUUCAAAUAGAAUUGUUCUUUUUGUCCA
This is a long non-coding RNA of Setaria italica (foxtail millet), 1150 nucleotides long. RefSeq lists it as uncharacterized. The transcript is spliced from 2 exons. The record is from RefSeq and is a predicted model, not a curated record. NCBI's taxonomy places the organism in Eukaryota, Viridiplantae, Streptophyta, Magnoliopsida, Poales, Poaceae.